Molecule: RNA transcript, 2500 nt
Organism: Arachis stenosperma
Lineage: Eukaryota; Viridiplantae; Streptophyta; Magnoliopsida; Fabales; Fabaceae
Exons: 5
Source: RefSeq, a predicted model, not a curated record
UUUUUUUCAUAACAAUGGGCUAAUUAACAAACAGGAGGAGAGAUUGCCUGAAACAGAUAUAGAAGAGAGAGCCCACCGCCGAAACUCUAAACUCGUUGCCGUCGGCAUCGCCGCUUCAGUUCCCAAGGUUUCUGGAAUCGAGCAAAGGCUCCUCUUCCGCCUAUGAGUUCGAGAGAAAGCGCCUUUUUCGUCAACACAUCUCCUCCGCGAACGAGUCCUUGGACUUCAUUUCCAUCCGAUCUGCCUCAGAUCCGCAUUGCUCUCAUCGUUUGUUCGUCUCAAAUCUACGUCGCCAAGGUCUUCCAGCCACUGUGCUGCUCUUGUUGAAACACUACACCUCCGCCACUUGCACCGCCUCCGUUCUUGCGCAUAGACGCACAAGAUCGUCGCCGUGAUUACAAGUCCGAAAACUCUGACAUUGGCAUUUUUCUGGGAUUCAAUGAAGUCACAAUUCCAAAUAUUUUCUUAUGAUGUCCUUGCAAAAGCAACUAACCAUUUCGAGAAUUAUGUUGGGAAAGGAGGCUUUGGGAGUGUUUACUAUGCUCCCACAAGGAUAUGAGGUAGUAAUCAAACAUUUCCAUGAAAAGAAGGAGAAGACAAAAAAGCAAUUCAUGAGAGAAGUUGAGAUCCUAAGUCUCAUGCGCCAUCAGAAUCUGGUCUAGCUGUAUGGCUGCAGUUCUGAUGACAGUGAUGAACUCCUGUUAGUUUACGAGUAUGUCUCCAACGGUUCUCUAUCAACCUAUCUCCAUUGAAAUUCUGGAAACAAACUACCAUGGGCUACCAGAUUAAAUAUUUCCAUUGAGACUGCUUCUGUUGUAUAUUCAUUUUGGAUUUUUAAGUUUUAAAAUGGCAAAACUUGUGGAGAGCCUAUUUUUAGUGGCAACUUAUUACUUAUAUACAACUUAUGUUCAUCCCUUUAUUUGCUCCCUUGCUACUAUUAUACUCAUGUCACCAGAUGAAGUCUUGCACAAAGGCAAUGGGACCCUCUGUGAAAUGUUACUCAUGGUUCAGAUAGGCUCUUAUGCACAUAUUUAGUGAAAUUGAUUUUUCUUUUUUUUUUUUUCAUUUCCAGGUUACUUGUUUUCCUUUUAAUUAUUUGCAUUUGUUUCAGGCAUACAAAGCAAAUGUUAUAUGUCCUAACAAACACCAAUCCGACAAAGAGAAAUUUUAUAGCAAUCAUCUUCUUGAGAGUGAGAAUUUUCUGUAUUAUACAUGCCAUUCAAUAAGAAUUUUCAUAUCUAGAUGUUGUUUAUUCCCUUCGUGGUUAUUUUCUCACUUCCUGCAAAAUAGGGAAAGUAGAUUGAUUUUCAAUAACAUCUUAUGACCAAUUUGUAUUUACUUUAUGAUCACUUGCAUAAGUUGAGAGUUGAGACCAUCAAUAAUGGACGACUAACUUAGACUCCUCUAUCUUCUUUUGUGUAGUAAAAUUAGUUUGUGAUGAUGAAACCACUUAUUGUACAAUAUAUAACUGAAUGUUCUUUACUUAUUUUUUUCCCUGAGUUUAUUUAUUUUUAUUCAUGUAUCUCAUUUGUUUUUAUGCAUGCAUAUAUUUUGUGCUUCAGUUCUUGCGCUUUACAGGUUUUGGUGGGGAGGAUUUUGGAAGGUAAUGUUCUAUCUCUUCUGUUUAUAUAAUCAUUGCACUUGGUCACUUUCAAUAUUUACAUGUUUCAUUAUGUUUUUAACACACAACCCUCUCUUGCAAUAACAUAACUAAUUUGACAUACCAUUGGAGCCUCUGAUCUAGCUCUAACAGAGACUAUGGCUUUUCUCAUAGUGGCUUCAGCUUGAUCAACAUUUCUUGGAGCCGAGGGACUAUUCUCUCUACUAUUCUUUUCUUGAUCAUAACUGUUUCCAUUCUUCUUCUCUGGAGACUCGGACUUCUCCGACAAAGAAAGCGAAGCCUCCUCUCCGAUCUCAGCACCGUUUGUGGCCAAUCGAAGAUCCAUGAACUGUCUUGGCACUGCGUCUUGCUUCUUCUCCUCCUCCUCCUCCUCUGGCUUGUGUUGUUGCAUCAAAGCCACCACCUUGCAUCUGCAGGGCCUUGUAUUCCGCGGUUACACAAUCUAGCCUCUCUCUCCAUUGAUUCUCCACCUUCAUUCACUCCAACUCUACCAGAAUACAACUGUCUGAUCAGUGAUGGGUCUUUUUUCGUGUGAAUUUGGAGAGAUGUUGUUGUCAACAACGAAUUGAUCGCUGCUCGUGUUGGUAGUAAGAAGAUUCAGACCAGUCUGAAAUAAUGAAUGAAAAUUGAGAAGCUUCGGAUACGUAAUUUAGAAGUAAAGACAUGGUAUUGGUUGGGAAUGCUUGCAACAACCUUUCAUGUCAUGGCAAUGUGUCUUAGGAUCUGUCACUAGGAUUGGUUUAUAGCCUAAUUUGUUGUAACAUAGUUAUAAGCUUGUAGCAUUUUUUAUUGUUUAGAUUUGUAACAUGAGUUAUUAUUUUUCAAGAGAAACUUGUGUAUCAAUUUUUGAGUUUAAUGAAAUAUCUCAUUUUAUAGUAA